UCCCUCGCGGGUGCACCGCCGACCGACC
This 28-nucleotide small nuclear RNA is filed under the name Arabidopsis thaliana (thale cress). RNAcentral describes it as "snRNA_08212". The record is from RNAcentral. Lineage: Eukaryota; Viridiplantae; Streptophyta; Magnoliopsida; Brassicales; Brassicaceae.